RNAcentral lists this ribosomal RNA (1607 nucleotides) under Neuroperlopsis patris. RNAcentral describes it as "partial 28S ribosomal RNA". It matches the Rfam family "Eukaryotic large subunit ribosomal RNA", at positions 64 to 1895 of the family's 3401-position model. The record is from RNAcentral. Lineage: Eukaryota; Metazoa; Arthropoda; Insecta; Plecoptera; Eustheniidae.
ACUAACAAGGAUUCCCCUAGUAGCUGCGAGCGAACAGGGAGGAGCCCAGCACCGAAUCCUGCGCGCCGAAGAGCGCGUCUGGAAAUGUGGUGUUUGGGAGGAUCCGGUCAUCUCGUGAGAGUACGCCAGUCCAAGUCCAUCUUGAAAGCGGCCACAGCCCACAGAGGGUGCCAGGCCCGUAGGACGGCGGUGCGACUCGAUCGAAAGGAUCUCUAGAGUUCAAGAGUACGUGAAACCGUUCGGGGGUAAACGGGCGAAAUCUGGAAAAUCGAACGGAGAGAUUCAAGCCCAACUCGCCCGUGCGUUGCACGGCGGCCGCCGAUGGCGGCGGGGCGCCCGCGCGUUGCCGCAAGGCGCGCCGGUGUCGUUCCCGUCGUCCACGCGCCGCGUCGUCGUGCUCGCCGGCGUCGGGCCGCACUUCUCUCCCGGUAGUACGUCGCGACCCGUUGGGCGUCUGUCCAAGGCCCGCGCGUGGAGCCGGUCGUCGCCGCGUCGCGGCGCGCGGGGUUAAUCCCUCGCGCGUCUCCGCGACCGCGCGGCCGACCGCUGCGGUGUCCCGGCAGGCUCGCCCGACGNNNNNNNNNNNNNNNNNNNNNNNNNNNNNNNNNNNNNNNNNNNNNNNNNNUCUUGAAGCACGGACCAAGGAGUCUAACAUGUGCGCGAGUCAUUGGGACCGCACUAAACCUAAAGGCGUAACGAAAGUGAAGGCGCUCGGCGCGUCCGGUCUCGGCCGGUCGCGUCGUCGCCGAGGGGGGAUUCGACCCGUCCACGGCGACGCGGACGACGCACCCCCGCGGCGUCUCGUUGUCAUCGCGACACAGCAGGCGCACGCUGAGCGUACACGUUGGGACCCGAAAGAUGGUGAACUAUGCCUGGUCAGCUGGCACUCGGAGUUUUCUGGAGCGGCGCGACGGCGCCUCGCGCGCCCCGCGUCGCACGUAACCAGUCUCAUCUGGUAAAGCGAAUGAUUAGAGGCCUUGGGGCCGAAACGACCUCAACCUAUUCUCAAACUUUAAAUGGGUGAGACAUUCGACUUGCUCGAAUAACGCAUUAUGAUGAAGUCGAAGACACAUAAAAGAUGAGCGGAUGAACGAGCGGCCAAGUGGGCCAAUUUUGGUAAGCAGAACUGGUGCUGUGGGAUGAACCAAACGUCGAGUUAAGGCGCCUAAAUCGAUGCUCAUGGGAUACCAUGAAAGGCGUUGGUUGCUUACGUCGUUGAUGUGCUGUCGAAUAAUAAUUGCCAGAACUGUUAUGACCACAUCGGGCGAAAGGGAAUCCGGUUUCUAUUCCGGAACCCGGCUGCGGAACCGACCAUGCGGGCCAAUGUCGCAGCGAUGCGGCAACUCGUCGGGGUAACCCAAAAGGACCCGGAGACGCCGUCGGAUGAUCGAGGCAGAGUUUUCUGUUCUGUAUGAGCGUUCGAGUUCCCUGGAAGCGCCUAGCGCGGAGAUAGGGUUUGGAACGCGAAGAGCACCGCACUUGCGGCGGUGUCUCGAUCUAUCCCUCGGACCUUGAAAAUCCGGGAGAGGGCCACGUGGAGGUGUCGCGCCGGUUCGUACCGAUAUCCGCAGCUGGUCUCCAAGGUCAGGAGCCUCUAGUCGAUAGAA